UACGAAGGGGGCGAGCGUUGUUCGGAAUUACUGGGCGUAAAGGGAGUGUAGGCGGUUAUGUAAGAUAGGGGUGAAAUCCCAGGGCUCAACCUUGGAAUUGCCUUUAUAACUAUGUAACUAGAGUAAUGGAGAGGAUAGUGGAAUACCCAGUGUAGAGGUGAAAUUCGUAGAUAUUGGGUAGAACACCGGUGGCGAAGGCGACUAUCUGGCCAUUUACUGACGCUGAGGCUCGAAAGCGUGGGGAGCAAACAGG
RNAcentral lists this ribosomal RNA (253 nucleotides) under uncultured bacterium. RNAcentral's name for it is "partial 16S ribosomal RNA". It matches the Rfam family "Bacterial small subunit ribosomal RNA", at positions 524 to 776 of the family's 1533-position model. The record is from RNAcentral.